RNAcentral lists this long non-coding RNA (518 nucleotides) under Vulpes vulpes (red fox). Its description in RNAcentral is "lncRNA (ENSVVUG00000021872.1)". The record is from RNAcentral. Lineage: Eukaryota; Metazoa; Chordata; Mammalia; Carnivora; Canidae.
UAUAACUUAGAUCCAUAUAACCCAGAGAAGCUUAGAGUAGUUUUACCUUUGACCAGACUAAGUGGUUCAACUGUGGCUAAUACAAAACUCUAAUGUAAUUAAUUUGCUCAUUUAUGCAUUCAAUAUGCAUCAUAACUUUAGACAAAAAUCCUACAAGAGAAACAGUAAUUUGUCUUGAUGGAAGGGUGAAGAAUGAUUAGAUAAUAUGGGGCACUAAGAUUCAUUCUCCUUCUUAAAAUGGAUGGGUUUUUUCCUUUAUUUCUGGAAUAAAGGUUUUUUUUUUUUUUCUUUCUAUUUUCUUUUAGAGAAGAAAAGAAUUCAAACAUGCAAUGCUAGGAAAGAAGAACCGCCACCUGGGCACCUGGGCAUUGAAGGCUCCAGAGAGGUCUCUGCCAUCUUUGGUCUUUCAAGAAUGUUUAAGGCAUCAGCCAUGACUGCUUCUUGAGGUAGAGUAAGAUAUUCAGGUCCGAGUAAGAAAUAGGGCAUAAUGAAUAAAACAAUGUGUGAAUACUAGAACA